UCCUCUCUCUAUAACUCAUCAUCAUCUCAAUCGGAUCUUCGUUGGACCCGAAUAAUUUCUUAACAAAACCUAACCCUAAUUCUUCAAUGGCGAGCGAUUCCAAUGAACCUUCACGUCGCAAACACAAUCGAUCUUCUCCUUCCGAUGAGGAUACCGGAGAACCAUUGAAACGCCGUAAGCACCGCCACCAUCAUCGUCACCACCGUCACCAUCGCCACCAUAGCAAGAAGCACGUAGAGAAAUCCGAUUCGAAAUCCGAGAAAGAAAUGGGUAAAUCAAAAGGUGAGGUUGAGAACGGAGGUCAACAAGGAGAAGCGAUGAAUAUUGGUACUGUUGUUGGUGUUUCUACUUUAGGGAUUGAUUAUGAUAUGGAGGAAGGAGAAAUCAUUGAGGAUGAUGUUGUGGCUACUGCCGCUGUUGGUGAUGCUGAUGAGAUUAUCGUGACCAAAAAGUUGGGGAAUGAAGAUAAUUUGGACAUGGAAUCACAUAAAGCUCAAGGACAAGGGCCUGCAGACAAUGUGGAAAAAGUUGACAGAGAUUCCACUGUUUCAGGACGGCAUGAUGAGCAAAGGAAAAGUAGAAAGGCUGAUAGUGCUCGAGAAAGUAAGUCCAGUGACAAGCAUUUUGCAAAUGGUAGUUACACAGAUGAAUUUCAUAGAUUGGACUCUAAACCACAGAAAGAAGAUAGUUUUGCUGGUGAAGAAAGUACAGAACAAAAGAGCUAUGAUGAGGAUGAAAGUGAUUUACAGGAUCAAAUAAUAAAAUCCUCGACUCCUGAAAAUGUUGGGAAGAGGCAUAGAUCUGUUAGGGUAUCAUCUUCCCAUAAUGAACACCAUGAAGAGAGACAUGUUACGAAGUCAUCCAAGUCACCUGAUCGUUCCAGAGGAAGAUCACGAUCCAAAAGCAUUUUGGAGGAGUCUUUCCUUGUACCUAAGUCUCGUCAGAAAGAUGACACAUAUGAAAAUGAAAGCAGAUAUAGAAGUAACUUUGAUGAUGAAAAACUUGGAUACAAAAGGGACUAUCGACAUGGAAGCCGAGAGUCUUCAAGGGAUGGGGAAAAGGAGCAUAAUUCUGGUUACAGCAGGUCCUCUAGAGACCGGUACCAUAACAGAGAGAGUGUUGAUAGAUAUAGGGAGAGUAGCAUGGAGAAUGACAGGGAUAGAGUGAGAGAGAAAGACAGGGAGCGUGAGUUGGCUAGAGAAAGGCAAAGGGAGAGCGAUAAGGAGAGGGAGAGGGAAAGAGUAAGGGAGAGAGACAGAGAGAGGGAAAGAGAGAAAGCUCGAGAUAGGGAAAGGGAUAGAGAAAGAGAAUAUGAGAGGGGGAGAGACAGGGAGAGAGAGAGUUUUAGAGAGAGGGAAGAGAGAGAAAGGAGGAAUAGGGAUAGGGAAAGCAGAGGACGAAGUAGGGAGGCAGAUAGGGAUAGAUAUAGUGAUAGGUCCAGCAGGCAGCGGGAUGAUGGUCUUGCUUAUAAUAGACGUAAUAGACAUUAUGAGACUGACAUUGAGAGAGGAAGGACAAGUAAUCACUUAGAAACUGAGAACACAAAGCAAAAUGCUGUAGAGACAGAGAGUGAGAGAUCUAAAAGAGAUAAAGUUGAACAGGAGGAUUAUCAGGAAAAAGUUGUUUUCCAGCUUGCUGAACAGGAAGAAGAAGACGAACUUGAUAGAAUUAAGGAGGAAAGCAGAAGGCGAAGGCAAGCUAUUCUUGAAAAAUAUAAGGUUAAGAACUCACAGAAGGAACAAGUUACUCAAUCCGGGGACGUUGUGGAGAUUCACAUGGAUCAGUCUACUCAAAAACCUGCUGCCAGACAGAAUGUUGUGCCAGAGUUGAUUGAUGGUAAAAGCAAUGGUGCAGAUGUCCAUGUUGACGAGCCGACAUUUUCUGUUGGGAAAUCACCUCUGCAGGGUGGUCAUAUUGCUGAUGAGCAGGCUUCUGGAGUUGGUGGACUGGGACAGGGUACUCCAAAGAGUGAGAGGUCAGCUGACAUGUUUUGUGACGAUAUAUUUGGAGAAUCGCCUGCUGGCAUCAGGAAAAUGGGCAAAGGAGAUGGUGUGGCAGUUGAGCGCAGUGGCCUUCAUGAUAACUGGGAUGAUCCAGAAGGGUAUUAUAGUUAUCGGUUCGGAGAAAUUCUUGAUGGCCGUUAUGAGAUUGUUGCUGCUCAUGGCAAAGGAGUCUUUUCUACUGUUGUUCGGGCUAAAGAUCUCAAGGCUAGACCCGGUGACCCUGAGGAAGUAGCAAUAAAAAUGAUACGCAAUAAUGAAACAAUGUAUAAGGCAGGUAUGGAAGAGUUGGUCAUACUGAAGAAGCUAGUUGGUGCAGAUCCUGAAGACAAGCGCCACUGUGUUCGUUUUAUUUCUAGCUUCAAGUACCGGAAUCAUCUCUGUUUAGUUUUUGAGUCUCUUCAUAUGAAUCUCCGUGAGGUUUUGAAGAAGUUUGGACGUAACAUUGGACUCAAACUCACUGCUGUGAGAACGUAUGCGAAGCAACUUUUCAUUGCUUUGAAGCAUUUAAAAAAUUGCGGUGUGCUUCAUUGUGAUAUUAAACCUGACAACAUGUUGGUAAAUGAAGCGAAAAAUGUGCUAAAGCUUUGUGACUUUGGUAAUGCUAUGUUUGCUGGAAAAAAUGAAAUUACUCCGUACCUCGUGAGCCGUUUUUACCGUGCCCCAGAGAUUAUUCUUGGCUUGUCGUAUGAUCAUCCGAUGGAUAUAUGGUCAGUUGGUUGCUGUUUGUUUGAGCUUUAUGCUGGGAAAGUAUUAUUUCCAGGUCCAACGAAUAAUGACAUGCUUCGUCUUCAUAUGGAAUUGAAAGGUCCAUUUCCAAAAAAGAUGCUUAGAAAGGGUGCAUUUACAGACCAACAUUUUGACCAAGAUCUCAAUUUUCUUGCUACCGAAGAGGAUCCUGUUACAAAGAAGGCUAUAAGGAAGCUGAUUGUUAACAUCAAGCCAAAAGAUAUCAGUUCAAUAAUUUUGGGCUCUCCUGGUGAAGACCCAAAGAUGUUGGCUCACUUCAAAGAUCUUAUGGAGAGAAUUUUUGUGUUAGAUCCAGAAAAGAGAAUGACUGUUUCCCAGGCAUUGAGCCACCCAUUCAUCACGGGCAAGUGAAUGACGAUGGUUUUCUGACUAGGGACAUGCUGUUGCACUAGAUACUAGUGCAUUAUGAUCAUAUGAUCUUAGUUUAUUUUCAGUUCUCUAAUCAUUGGGCUUUAUCUGUUUUUAUCUACCAUCCUGGGUUAAGUGCUACGGAGAUUGGCAAGGUUGAAGUUGCAGAGAAGAUUGCUGAUUUUGGGAGAUCUAUAUCUUGGCAGUUCUUUCAGUGCAAUGUUUUCUGUUCUAUCGAUAUCUACCAGGGCUUUGAUGCAAGAUUCAGUGAUUUAGAUGCUUAAAAGGCACCCUGGAGAAGGUACCUUGGUUUGUUUGUUAGGAAUUACUGUGACACCCUUUAAUGUUGUGAAUCUCCUUGAUUCUUCUGACAUCAGCCAUAAUUUGUGUUUUCUUGGUUGUGUUAAUAUUUUAAUUUUUCUUGACAAGUUCUGAUUUCUGAACUUUAAUUUGGUCUUGCCUGAAAAAUUGCACACCUGAGGUUGGCUCGUUAAUGAGCCUCCUAGGUUAGAAUAGUAAAGCUAUCAGGAGCUAGAGUUUUAUUCUAUUUGGGGUCAUCAUUUUUUGGGAAUAAUUUGGAGUCAUUGUUAUUUCUUCUAUUUCUUAAAUCUUUUCCCAAAAACACUUUCUAAUAAGUUGCAUUGCAUCUGAUCCAUGGUAUGGUCAUCCUGGAGCAAUGUAUGACUGGAGAUAAUCAGAGGCAGCCUUGAAGUGAGAGUUGUUUCAGGUGUGGUUCCAUGAAUCUGCAGUUCUAGUAAGUAUCCUUGAAUUUCAUUACGUCUCUGGUGUAAUAGGUGGGUAUCUUUUGAAAACCUGAUAUAUUUCUAUCAAUGUAUUUCAUUCAAAGUUUUGCUAGUCCUCCAUGGAACUGAUCUACAUGGAAUAGGAUUCAAAUUCUUAACUGGUUUUGCUAAUAAAAUUGGCCAUUGUGGAUCAAAUCUAUCUCAAAUUCAAUUGCUCCUUUCGCAAACACUAACUUCCCGUGCCAGAUAUCUAGUCAUGAAAAAAAAAUCUGUCUAGCUUGCGUUGGAAUUUGACUCUGUAGAUCCCUCCUCCAGUAUGCAUUGCUUUUUUCUCCAAUCUGCAUAGUCAAGGAACAUUUGCCGAGCCUCUCAAGUUUUGGCCAAGCCUCUCUGACUCUGUCUAUCCAUUUUAUAGCCAUUAGAUUUGUUAGUCAUGACAAGCUCCAGCUCGUGACUACCUUUUACCCAUAGGGUUUGUCCUUCUCUAAGGAAUUGAGGUGUGACGUAUAGCCAAGAGUCUUUAAACUCCUUAAUGCUUGACUUCUAUUGGACUAGUAAUCUUUCUAUCUCAUGCACUGAAGUUGGAUAUCAUUGUUUUAGGUUUAUGGUAUAUACGCUGUCACACUAGGCACUGGCGGUUACUUAUGUCAUUUGUCACUUUUGUGUGUUGGUGGGUUUCUAUUUUGUAAUUUCAUCAUUACAAAAAAUCCUCCAAUUCGAAGCAUUCUAGCUUUUGCAUUCAAUUUCUUAUGUUUCUCAUAAUUUACAAUUUUUUAUCUAUUUUCUUGCAAAAUUUCUCUUUAAGCUGCUAUUUGAUUUCCACUAAUAAAUGCAUCUAAUUCCUAGUACAAUUACUUCUUUUAGUCGUCUUCCUCAUGCUUUUUAUAUUCAGAUUCAAAACAACCCAAACGAAAAAAUAACGAAAUACCCAGCAAAAAAAGUCAAAAGCAAAGGCAUUACUCUGAAAAGUAAAAUAAGAUGAAAGUUUUAUUUAAAGCUAAAUAAGAUGAAAGUUUUAUUUUUAAGUUUAAUAAGAUGAAAGUUUUAUUUUAAAAAACACGGCACAAUCAUGGAAAUGUAUACACAAAAAUAUUUAAGUUAAAUAAGAUGAAACUUUUAUUUUUAAUAAUGAAUAACUAAAGCCUGCAAAGAAAAUAUAAAAAAUAAAAUAAGGUGGAGGGUAUUUUUGUAAACAAACUUAUUCUUAGUAAUUAUGCAAUGAAUAUAAUUUUAAAUAUGACAAACCAACCAAGCAAUAAAAACUACUCCCAGCAUUACUAAUCCAGCAUAACUUGUAUCCCAACCAAACGAUCCCUAAAAGACAUAUUUUCAAAUUUAAAACUUAAACCAUAUUUUUAUGAGGAAGUGUUGCAAAUUAAAGAAUCACUAAGAACAUUUGAAAGCUCGUAAGGAGUCAAAUAGUUAGGCAUGUAAUUAAACUAUUGCUAAUCUUGCUGCAUUUUGCAAAAGUAAUUCAACAUCCAAGAUAAGAGGCAAAACAAAUGAGAAAUAGCAUAUACAUAUAUAGGUUUGGUUAUUUGGUUUAAUCGGUUAUUUUUUCAGAAAAUCGAGAACUGAACUGAAAACCGAACUUUGAAACAUUUAAACAGAAACCCACAGAAAAACUGAAAAAAUUUGAAACAAAAGAGUUGGUUUGGUCAGUUUUUUCGGUUUUAACCAAAGGGCUGGUCAUUAAAUCAAGAAUAUUAACUGAAACGGAAAUUUUGAUUUUUUGGUUUUUGGUCCGUUCAAGAUUUGUACUUUUUAUGAUAUCGAUUUUUCAAUAUGGUUCUUAAAUUAACUGGGAAAUCAAGGCAAAAGAGAUUUUGGGGUUCUCUAUUCAUUACUCAUUAGUUUAAAAUUUUCUCUAGCCCAAUUGCCCUAACAAGGCUGAAGCCCAGAGCUCUGAUGCCAAGCCUAGACUCUUUAGCCCGAUUGCCCUCACACUCUUACGUUCUAACAUUUGCCGUGCAUUGAUGCUGUACUCCCCUGCUUCAAGUCCCUUUUCCUCUUUCUUAAGAAGUCAUAGGUAGAUCUUACUCAAUUGACUUGAUAAAAUUGAAGUGUAUCUUUACUCUUGUUUCUAUACUUCUGAAUGUAAGAUAAGUUUUACCAAUAGUUCAUUCCUGUUUCUUCAACAGAAAUGCUUAUUUCGUAACCCACAAAGAAUUUGGCCAGCAGAUUAUGUACACAAUCAGGUAAAUUAUUUUAAUUUUAAAAGAUGCCAAUUUAAACAAUACAAAGUCAACAUGUAGCUGUUGAAAAAACCCAAUUAAUGAUGCUUAUCUUGGAAAAAAUUAAAUCUGAAGACUCUUUUUCAGUAGAAAAAAAGAAGAUAAAGUCCAAAAUGAUAUGCCUAAGAGCCCAUUUGGAUUGACUUAUAAGUUGCUUAUAAGCUGUUUUUAGCUUUUUUGAGUGUUUGGCUGGCCAAUUUAAAGCCAUUUCGUGCUUAAAAUAAGCCCAAUAAAUAAUUGGGUCUGUUUAGCUUAGUUUAUCUAAAACAACUUAUUAGCUGCUUUAAAUAAGCUAGUCAAACAGACACUAAAUCAACCGAACUGAAUUUUUCAAGAGUGAAAUGAAAAGACCGAAUUAAUUACAGUUCCAUUUUUGGUGUACCUCAUCAAAAAUAAAAAAUCGCACGAAAUGAACCUGAACGUCUGGAAAACCAAACCGAACACCAACUCACACCCUUGUUAAUCUUAUCAAUCACACCCUUUAAGGAAAAAGGAAAAAAGAGUGACAGUUGCGUUGUUUGGAUGUCACUAAGGGGUCAUUUGGUAGAGUGUAUAAGAAUAAUGCUGAAUAGAGUGUAUUAGUAGUGCAUGCAUUAGUAAUACAAAGAUUAUUUAUUUCUUAUGCAGUUCUUGUUUUAAUGUAUAAAAAAUAAAAUGCAUUGCAUAACUUCUACAAAAAAAUAUGUGUUUACAAAAAUACCCUCCACACUUUAGUUAUGGGAAAUGAAAAAUUUCUUGAGAGGGAUUUGAGGGGUAGUUAUGUUAUUAAUUAAUCUAAUGCAUGUGUUGAAACCCUUUGUAUUACUAAUACAUGAAAAUUCAUGGUAUUAGUAAUACACACUUCAAUAAACAAUAGAGUGUAUAACUAAAGCUAAAAAAGUGUACCAAACAAGUACUAAUAAUACACACAAUUAAUACAUGCAUUAUUUUUUCUAAUACACUCUACCAAACGAGUCCUAAUUGUCUUACAUCGCUUAGUAGUUGUUGUGGCCAAUUCAUUUGAACCUACUUUAAAUGAGCUUGGGGGAGGAGUCACUUAAAAUAACUCACUUUACACCCCCUUGGUUUGAGUGAAGUGUGAACUCACCCCAUUGUUUGUGGUUUGGUUCUCUUGUUAAUUAUCUUUUGGUGAGCACUCACAUACUUCUAUCUGACUUGACUGAACUUCUCGGGAUCUCUAUUUCUGAUUUUUUAAAGUGUUUAGCAUUCCUUCUAUGGGUUCUCAAUCUGUGUUUACCUUCUACAUUUUUAUGUCUUUAGUUGGAAUAGCAGCUGUCAUUUGAGUGUUUGUUUUUGGUUCAUGUGUAUUUGUUAUUCUUCAGAAUUCAUUGAGUCUUGUGUAUGUUGAUUCGGUUGACAUUACAAAUCACUUCUUAUUGUAUAAUAAGUGACAUUACCCAUCACUAGUUUGGAUAGGUAAGAAGGACAAAGGGCUAAAUUGGCCCUUGAACUAUGUGAAAUGGUCCAACUUUGCCCUCAAUUAAAAGUUGGGGGUCAUUCCUGUCCUCGCCAUUACAGUUUUGGUUUGAAAUCUGAACUUCUAACCAAAAGGGCAAAUUUGGAUCUUUUCUCCAUUAUAUACUAGUUAGGCUCUAGUUAUCUGGAGUAGCACAAAAAUUUGCGAUGUUGCUACGCUGUCAAAAUAAAGCAGCUUCACAACAACCAAUUUUAUUUUACAGUCAUCACUUGUGUAUUGUGAAGUAAAUUUAUAAAAAUAUAUAUCUGAAGGGACGUUUGCUCUACCUUUGUGGGUUGUCUGUUAGGUUUUGCUCUAUUCACUUAUGCCUUGAAAAAAUCUCAGCUGCAUUUACUGCACCGAUCUGUGCCUUAUAUGUGAGGGUUAUAGCUUGAAUAUAAGAAGUGGAAUGGCUGUCUUAAGAAACUUAUACUCACUCGACUUCUUUUGUCUCCUGAUCUUGUUAAUGUGAGACCAUAGUGCUAACCACCCUUCGUAUUUGUGCUAAGGAUUUAAAUUUUUUGUUGCUCAAUCACUCUGAUCAUUCUUUACUAGCUUCUUGGUGAUUAGACCAUUCGUUCUUGGUAAGUAAUACACACUUCAUGUUGGUGUGUUUUCUGGUUAUGGUUAGCAGUAGUAUUAGGGAUGAUGACUGUUUGUUUUUGAGCUUGUUGAUGUUUUCAUAGAUUGUUAAAUGAUCAUAUCAUACCUUCACUCCUUGCAAAACCGUGGAUUCAGUUCAAAUGCUAGUAAUGGAUAUAUUGCUUCAUGAUUUAGCUUGUUGCAACUUCCUUUGGUGUUGGGGAAAGUUCUCUCUAUGUAUGUAGUGGUUACUUAAACCGGUGCUCCAAUUGUGCGGUGCACUAAUGCUUAAAAAUUCCUGCCUUCACCUGGAUAUCCUGUUUAACUCCUCCGAUAUUUUAGGGCAUAACAUUUGCCAGGAUUUUGUAGCCUUAGUAGUGCAAAUCUCAUCUAGGAAACGCGACCUUUGUCUACUUUGUUUCUUCUUCUUCAUUCUAAUGACGUGUGUGGUCCAGCUCAAAAGUUUGUGUUUGGGCAGAGCCAUUAUUGAUGAUGAAUAUGAAUAUCAAUUUAUGUUUCUCUUAGCUUCAAGUUCCAGCAUCUGUUGAAGUCUUUAUCAAUAGCGAAAAAGAGGCUUGAGGUCUGUUUGCUGCAUUGUAAAUAAAUCGCCGACUUUUAACGAUCGGAUGUGCAACUAGAAAAAGAAAUAAUGUAUGUAUAUAUAACACACAAUGCAUAUAUACAUAUACAUGUUGUGAUUAGAGAGUAUUUAACCAUAUUCACAAGUAAACGGACAAAGCAGUUGAAUUUUCCUUUUUAACUAAUUGAAAUGCAUAUUUUAUUUGUUCAA
This is an RNA transcript of Solanum dulcamara, 8903 nucleotides long. RefSeq lists it as uncharacterized. The record is from RefSeq and is a predicted model, not a curated record. NCBI's taxonomy places the organism in Eukaryota, Viridiplantae, Streptophyta, Magnoliopsida, Solanales, Solanaceae. The transcript has 14 exons.